Molecule: ribosomal RNA, 398 nt
Filed under: uncultured fungus
Lineage: Eukaryota; Fungi
Description: eukaryotic LSU rRNA
Source: RNAcentral
AGAGUUAAAUAGUACGUGAAAUUGUUGAAAGGGAAACGAUUGAAGUCAGUAGGACCAUGGAGAGUUCAGCGAUACCUAUCGAGUAUUGCUGCGACGAGAGUGCUUAAUUGUACCUCUAGCAGUGUGCGCAAAUAGACUAUCGUGCAUUCUUUCUAUGGUUAGUCAGUGACAAUUCGAGUUGCCGGAAAAGGACUUGGGGAAGGUGGCCAUUGCUUCGGCAUUGGCUUUAUAGACCCUCGUAGAUACGGCAGUUUGGAUUGGAAUCGGCAACAGCUAAUCGGAGCGUCAUAUCUGCAGUUGUGGACACUUGAGAAUCAGUAGAGUCUCAGGUGGCAUCUAUCUGGGAAACGAUGUUCAGAAUGCUGCGGUGACUACUGACGAAAUGGCUUUAAACGACC